GUCUCCUGCUGUGUUCUAUGGCUUUUUAUUCCUACGUGAUUGUAGUCUGGGUUCAUGUAGGGGUAGAAGCCACGAAACACUCGGUGAGAG
Molecule: non-coding RNA, 90 nt
Organism: Lepisosteus oculatus (spotted gar)
Lineage: Eukaryota; Metazoa; Chordata; Actinopteri; Semionotiformes; Lepisosteidae
Source: Rfam